GCACCCUUAGCUCAGCUGGAUAGAGCGCUGCCCUCCGAAGGCAGAGGCCACAAGUUCGAAUCUUGUAGGGUGCACCA
This 77-nucleotide transfer RNA is filed under the name Gammaproteobacteria bacterium. RNAcentral describes it as "tRNA-Arg". It matches the Rfam family "tRNA". Rfam says of the family: Transfer RNA (tRNA) molecules are approximately 80 nucleotides in length. Their secondary structure includes four short double-helical elements and three loops (D, anti-codon, and T loops). RNAcentral also lists the same sequence under 2 other names. Lineage: Bacteria; Pseudomonadati; Pseudomonadota; Gammaproteobacteria. The record is from RNAcentral.